RNAcentral lists this ribosomal RNA (200 nucleotides) under uncultured bacterium. Its description in RNAcentral is "partial 16S ribosomal RNA". It matches the Rfam family "Bacterial small subunit ribosomal RNA", at positions 8 to 219 of the family's 1533-position model. The record is from RNAcentral.
AGAGUUUGAUCCUGGCUCAGGACGAACGCUGGCGGCGUGCUUAACACAUGCAAGUCGAACGAGAUCCUUCGGGGUCUAGUGGCGAACGGGUGAGUAACACGUGAGCAACCUGCCCCUGGCUCUGGGAUAGCCUCCGGAAACGGGGAUUAAUACCGGACAUGACCUGCCGUGGCAUCACGGCGGGUGGAAAGUUCUUCGGC